UACGGAGGGUGCGAGCGUUAAUCGGAAUUACUGGGCGUAAAGCGGGCGCAGGUGGUUCGUCAAGUCUGAUGUGAAAGCCCCGGGCUCAACCUGGGAACUGCAUUGGAAACUAGCGGGCUUGAGUGUGGCAGAGGGGGGUGGAAUUCCACGUGUAGCAGUGAAAUGCGUAGAGAUGUGGAGGAACACCGAUGGCGAAGGCAGCCCCCUGGGCUAACACUGACGCUCAUGCACGAAAGCGUGGGGAGCAAACAGG
This 253-nucleotide ribosomal RNA is filed under the name uncultured bacterium. Its description in RNAcentral is "partial 16S ribosomal RNA". It matches the Rfam family "Bacterial small subunit ribosomal RNA", at positions 524 to 776 of the family's 1533-position model. The record is from RNAcentral.